This 253-nucleotide ribosomal RNA is filed under the name uncultured bacterium. RNAcentral's name for it is "partial 16S ribosomal RNA". It matches the Rfam family "Bacterial small subunit ribosomal RNA", at positions 524 to 776 of the family's 1533-position model. The record is from RNAcentral.
UACGUAGGCAGCGAGCGUUGUUCGGAGUUACUGGGCGUAAAGAGUGCGUAGGCGGUUUUCUAAGUUUGGUGUGAAAUCUCCCGGCUUAACUGGGAGGGUGCGCCGAAGACUGGAAGGCUUGAGUAUGGGAGAGGUAAGCGGAAUUCCUGGUGUAGCGGUGAAAUGCGUAGAUAUCAGGAGGAACACCAGUGGCGAAGGCGAGUCUCUGGCACGCAUCUGACGCUGAAACACGAAAGCCAGGGGAGCGAACGGG